RNAcentral lists this long non-coding RNA (908 nucleotides) under Homo sapiens (human). RNAcentral's name for it is "HSALNT0395205". The record is from RNAcentral. Lineage: Eukaryota; Metazoa; Chordata; Mammalia; Primates; Hominidae.
UGAGCUACACCUCGCUUAUAAUAAUAUCGAUCAUUCACUCUAAGGUGUUGCUUUUUUCCAUUCGGUGGAGGAAAUAGCAAGCAUUCUCUUUCCCCCGCUCCCCGCUGGAGUUCACAGGCUAAGUCUCUUGGAGAAGGGAAGAAGGGGUGGCUGGGAUGGGGAGAGGACAAGAAGAAGGCAGUCCUGGAAAGGGAAGGAUGACAUCACAAAAGAAAAGAAGGCGUCUCAGUCUACUGUCAGAGAUCAACCGAUGGAUCGGAUCACCUGGAUGUUGAGCCAUCCACAUGCAAACCAAGGAAGGAGAGUGUGAGCUCCUGGCUGGAGAAUUCGCUCACAAGGGUGAUGUGAUCAUCUUACGUGUAAAAGAAAACCGAAUUUCACUUCUGGUGGUGACUAUUGUCUGAUUCAUCAUUACAGUAACCACCCAAGGAAACCCUGCCCACAAAAAGCAUUCUUCUGGAGAAGUAACAGUUUUUGGUGACACACAUGAUGGCAACAAUGAACGCUUUGUGGCACGAUGACCUCUAUGAAAAAGAGAGAUAUACAGGUUUUGCUUUUGUUCACUCAACUAAUUACCAACCUUUCAUUAUACCUCUACUCGGACAUCUAAACUUCAGUUAAGCUCUAUGUUUAAGUGGGAUGGAUCUUCAAUUUGCCUACCUAAGGAUUUGAAGUCAGGUUUACAGAGGCAUCAUUUUACAAUUAUCAACUUUGAUAAAUGCAGAUUGUCAUGGAACUACCACCAGAAUCCAGAUAGAGAACAUGCUAUCAUCCCUGUUAUAUCCCUUUGUGGCUAAUCCACCACACUGUUCCAUCCACCAAAGUCCCUAGAAGCCACUGAUCUGUUUUAUGUCCCUCUGGUUUUGUCUUUUUCAAAGUCUGAAAUAAAUGGAAUUGUGGAGUGUGUA